Molecule: RNA transcript, 4154 nt
Organism: Lagenorhynchus albirostris (white-beaked dolphin)
Lineage: Eukaryota; Metazoa; Chordata; Mammalia; Artiodactyla; Delphinidae
Gene: SULF2
Gene name: sulfatase 2
Exons: 21
Source: RefSeq, a predicted model, not a curated record
AGCCAAGUGGACCUGAUCGAUGGCCCUCCUGACUUUAUUGAAAUAUUUGAGUUAUUAGAGAUGCCCCCCUCGUGUGUGUGUGUGUCAACACACACACACCCUCACACGCACGGCUCCGGCCCGCGUCCCUCCCUCAUUUCCAGCUCCUGGGCGAAUCCCACAGCUGUUUCAACUCUCCGCCGAGGGCGAGCUGGAGCGAGUGUGUGUCGGGUGAGUGUGCGUCUGUGGCCCGGCGAGGGUGCGCGCUCGGCGCCGGGAGCGCGGCCAGCGGGGUCCCGAGGCAUCAGGAGGCAGAGGGCUGUCCAGAGCCCCGCUCUCCGCCGUUGCGCCGUCCGGGGCCAGACUUCGGGGCCGGGGCCGGACGCCGGGGACAGCAGGGCCGGGCCGGCCGGGCCGCCCGUCCUUCCAGCCAGAGAUCCGUGAGUAGAGAGGGAGGAGAGAAAAGAAACAAAUCCACAAAACACAGCUCCAGACUCCUGCAUCCUGCCAGAAACAAGGGAUCAGCGGGAACGUAAAAUGGCGCCCCCCAGUGUCCUGCUUUGCUUGCUCUCUGCAACUGUCUUCUCUCUCCUGGAUGGAAGUGUGGCGUUCCUGUCCCACCACCGCCUGAAAGGCAGGUUUCAGAGGGACCGCAGAAACAUCCGUCCCAACAUCAUCCUCGUGCUGACGGACGACCAGGAUGUGGAGCUCGGUUCCAUGCAGGUGAUGAACAAGACACGGCGCAUCAUGGAGCAGGGCGGGGCGCACUUUAUCAACGCCUUCGUGACCACGCCCAUGUGCUGCCCCUCACGCUCCUCCAUCCUCACCGGGAAGUACGUCCACAACCACAACACCUACACCAACAAUGAGAACUGCUCCUCGCCCUCCUGGCAGUCGCAGCACGAGAGCCGCACCUUUGCUGUGUACCUCAACAGCACGGGCUACCGGACAGCUUUCUUUGGGAAGUACCUUAAUGAAUACAACGGCUCCUACGUACCGCCUGGCUGGAAGGAGUGGGUCGGCCUCCUUAAAAACUCCCGCUUUUAUAACUACACACUGUGUCGGAACGGAGUGAAGGAGAAGCACGGCUUUGACUACUCCAAGGACUACCUGACAGACCUGAUCACCAACGACAGCGUGAGCUUCUUCCGUACAUCCAAGAAGAUGUACCCGCACAGGCCCGUUCUCAUGGUCAUCAGCCACGCAGCCCCUCACGGCCCCGAGGACUCGGCCCCCCAGUACUCAAGCCUCUUCCCCAACGCGUCUCAGCACAUCACCCCGAGUUACAACUAUGCACCCAACCCUGACAAGCACUGGAUCAUGCGCUACACGGGGCCCAUGAAGCCCAUCCACAUGCAGUUCACCAACAUGCUGCAGCGGAAGCGCCUGCAGACCCUCCUGUCUGUGGAUGACUCCAUGGAGACGAUUUACAACAUGCUGGUGGAGACAGGUGAGCUGGACAACACGUAUGUCGUGUACACCGCUGACCACGGCUACCACAUCGGCCAGUUCGGCCUGGUGAAAGGGAAGUCCAUGCCCUACGAGUUCGACAUCAGGGUCCCGUUCUAUGUUAGGGGCCCCAACGUGGAGGCCGGCUCGCUGAAUCCCCACAUUGUCCUCAACAUUGACCUGGCCCCCACCAUCCUGGACAUCGCAGGACUGGACAUCCCCUCGGAUAUGGACGGGAAAUCCAUCCUCAAGCUGCUGGACACAGAGCGGCCAGCAAAUCGGUUUCACUUGAAAAAGAAGAUGAGGGUCUGGCGGGACUCCUUCCUGGUGGAGAGAGGCAAACUGCUCCACAAGAGGGACAGUGACAAGGUGGAUGCCCCGGAGGAGAACUUCCUGCCCAAGUACCAGCGUGUGAAAGACCUGUGUCAGCGGGCCGAGUACCAGACCGCAUGCGAGCAGCUGGGGCAGAAGUGGCAGUGCGUGGAGGACGCCGCGGGGAAGCUGAAACUGCACAAGUGCAAGGGCCCCGCACGGCCCGGGGGCAGGGCCGUCUCCAACCUGGUGCCCAAGUACUACGCACAGGGCGGCGAGGCCUGCGUCUGCGACAGCGGGGAUGAGCAGCUCAGCCUGUCCGGACGCCGGAAGAAGCUCUUCAAGAAGAAGUACAAGGCCAGCUACGCCCGGAAUCGCUCCAUCCGCUCAGUGGCCGUCGAGGGGCACCACGUCGGCCUGGACGACUGGUCCCAGCCCCGCAACCUCACCAAGCGGCACUGGCCAGGCGCCCCUGAGGACCAAGACGACAGGAACGGCGGGGACUUCAGUGGCACCGGGGGCCUUCCGGACUACUCAGCCCCCAACCCCAUUAAAGUCACACAUCGGUGCUACAUCCUGGAGAACGACACGGUCCAGUGCGACCUGGACCUGUACAAGUCCCUGCAGGCCUGGAAGGACCACAAGCUGCACAUUGACCACGAGAUCGAGACCCUGCAGAACAAAAUUAAGAACCUGAGGGAAGUCCGCGGUCACCUGAAGAAAAAGCGGCCAGAAGAAUGUGACUGUCACAAAGUCAGUUACCACGCCCAGCACAAAGGCCGCCUCAAGCACAAAGGCUCCAGCCUGCAUCCGUUCAGGAAGGGUUUGCAGGAGAAGGACAAGGUGUGGCUGCGGCGGGAGCAGAAGCGCAAGAAGCAGCUCCGCAAGCUGCUCAGGCGGCUGCAGAACAACGACACGUGCAGCAUGCCCGGCCUCACGUGCUUCACCCACGACAACCAGCACUGGCAGACGGCACCCCUCUGGACGCUGGGGCCCUUCUGCGCCUGCACCAGCGCCAACAACAACACGUACUGGUGCAUGAGGACCAUCAAUGAGACCCACAACUUCCUCUUCUGUGAAUUUGCAACCGGCUUCCUAGAGUACUUUGAUCUCAACACAGACCCCUACCAGUUGAUGAAUGCAGUGAACACCCUGGACAGGGACAUCCUCAAUCAGCUACAUGUGCAGCUCAUGGAGCUGAGGAGCUGCAAGGGUUACAGGCAGUGUAACCCCCGGACCCGGAACAUGGACCUGGGACUGAAAGAUGGAGGAAGCUAUGAACAAUACAGGCAGUUUCAGCGUCGAAAGUGGCCAGAAAUGAAGAGACCUUCUUCCAAAUCACUGUGAGUUGAGGAACCAGUUUACCAGUCGACAUCUGGCCUGAUCCACUUUGUUUUGCCGAGGCUGUUCUGCAUGCGUGCCCUUUCUCACUUACUCCUCUCAUCUGUUCCCGUAAGAGGGGAAGCAGUCAUGUCAGUCUUUCCCAUAAAAUAACAUACUUGGAUAUAUUUCAUGUUCUAGAUUAUACUUUGUCUAAUACACCGUUGUUCUCCACGUCAUCAUCUGUGCUUGGGGACAACUGUGGGAAGGCUGGGAAGGUUAAGAAGCAUGAGAUGGACCUCCAAAAACAGAGGCAUCACCUGUACAAUGAAAAACUCUGAAUGACUUCCAGCAGACCUAUGAUGUUAGCCAAGAAGCCUGAGACACACAGAAUUCGCUUUCAGUCAACGUGGCAGAUUCUGGAAGAGAAGCAUCCAGGAGUAGUGAGACUUGGGAGUCCAUUUUUGCCCCUGCUUUUGCUAUGGAGUAUACCUCACCAGCUGCACAAAAUGCAUUUUCAUAUCAAAAGGUCACCACUAACCCUCUCUGAGAGGCUCACAAGGGAAGAACAACAGAGAGGUUUUCUUGGAAAUUUUCCCCAAGGGUGAACGUCACUGGAAUUUUUUUAAAGCACAGGGUAAGAACCACCCUGUUUUAAAUCCUCUUAUUCUUUUGGCCGUUCACAAAGAAGGAACUAGGAAGCAGGACAGAGGCAGGAAAUGGCGACCGAGUUUCACAAUGAGUCAACAGCACAAAAGUCAUAAAUUUAUACUUCACACUAGAACCCUGGCUGCCUCUGAAGAAACUGACUUCACUGUAUAUAUGUGACUAUUUACAUGUAACCAGCUCGGGAACUUUUAGGGGGAUUUGACUAAUAAGAAAGCCCAAUUUUCAAGAGUGGUGGUGUCAAUAAACGCUGUGGCCCAUGUAACAGAAAAGCCCGUGCAGUUGUAGACUUUCCUCUUCCUGACCAGAUGCCAUUUCUCCCAGGAUUCCUUUGUUAUCUGUCCCAGAACUGAUGUUUUUUAAAGUCCUGCAAAGACACGAAGUUGAUGUAUGUCCCAAGUUUUAAUAAAACUGUAUUUGUAAAGAAA